AUACGUAGGGCGCGAGCGUUGUCCGGAAUUACUGGGCGUAAAGAGCUCGUAGGUGGUUUGUCGCGUCGUCUGUGAAAUUCCGGGGCUUAACUCCGGGCGUGCAGGCGAUACGGGCAUAACUUGAGUACUGUAGGGGAGACUGGAAUUCCUGGUGUAGCGGUGAAAUGCGCAGAUAUCGGGAGGAACACCGGUGGCGAAGGCGGGUCUCUGGGCAGUAACUGACGCUGAGGAGCGAAAGCAUGGGUAGCGAACAGGAUUAGAUACCCUGGUAGUCCAUGCCGUAAACGGUGGGCGCUAGGUGUAGGGGUCUUCCACGACUUCUGUGCCGUAGCUAACGCAUUAAGCGCCCCGCCUGGGGAGUACGGCCGCAAGGCUAAAACUCAAAGGAAUUGACGGGG
Molecule: ribosomal RNA, 398 nt
Filed under: uncultured bacterium
Lineage: Bacteria
Description: partial 16S ribosomal RNA
Rfam family: Bacterial small subunit ribosomal RNA
Source: RNAcentral